AGAGUUUGAUCCUGGCUCAGGAUGAACGCUAGCGGUGUGCUUAACACAUGCAAGUCGUACGAAAAAGAAAUUUUUAGUGGCGAACGGGUGAGUAACACGUGAGAAUUUGCCUUUAGGAAGAGGAUAACAGUUAGAAAUGAUUGCUAAAACUCUAUAUGACAGCAGUUGAAAAAAGCAAUUUGCCUAAAGAGAAGCUCGCGUCUGAUUAGCUAGUUGGUAGGUUAAAGGCCUACCAAGGCGACGAUCAGUAGCUGGUCUGAGAGGAUGAUCAGCCACACUGGAACUGAGACACGGUCCAGACUCUUACGAGAGGCAGCAGUGAGGAAUUUUCUGCAAUGGGCGAAAGCCUGACAGAGCAACAGCGCGUGAGGGAUGACGGCCUAUGGGUUGUAAACCUCUUUUCUCAAGGAGGAAGAUCUGACGUACUGAGAAUA
This 434-nucleotide ribosomal RNA is filed under the name uncultured bacterium. RNAcentral describes it as "bacterial SSU rRNA". It matches the Rfam family "Bacterial small subunit ribosomal RNA", at positions 8 to 470 of the family's 1533-position model. The record is from RNAcentral.